CAGGAUUAGAUCCCCUGGUAGUCCACGCCGUAAACGAGGAGUGUUAAGUGUUGGAGGGUUUCCGCCCUUCAGUGCUGCAGUUAACGCAUUAAGCAUUCCGCCUGGGGAGUACGACCGCAAGGUUGAAAUUCAAAGGAAUUGACGGGGGCCCGCCCAAGCGGGGGAGCAUGGGGUUUAAUUGGAAGCAACGGGAAGACCCUUACCAGGUCUGGACUUCCUUUGACCAUUCUAGAGAUAGAGCUUCCCCUUCGGGGGCAAAGUGCCAGGUGGUGCAUGGUUUUCGUCAGUUCGUGUCGGGAGAUGUUGGGUUAAGUCCCGCAACGAGCGCAACCCUUAUUGUUAGUUGCCAUCAUUCAGUUGGCCAUUUUAGCAAGACUGCCGGUGCCAAACCGGAGGAAGGUGGGGAGGACGUCAAAUCUUCAUGCCCCUUAUGACCUGGGUUCCACACGUGUUCCAAUGGGAAGUACAACGAGUUGGGAAGUCGGGAGGUUAAGUUAUUUUCUUAAAGUUUUUUUCAGUUCGGAUUCCAGGCUGCAAUUCGCCUGCAGGAAGCCGGAAUCGUUAGUAAUCGGGGAUCACCACGCCGCGGGGAAUACGUUCCCGGCCCUUGUACACACCGCCCGUCACACCAGGAGAGUUUUACCACCGGAAGUCGGUGAGGUAACCUUUU
Molecule: ribosomal RNA, 670 nt
Filed under: Enterococcus faecium
Lineage: Bacteria; Bacillati; Bacillota; Bacilli; Lactobacillales; Enterococcaceae
Description: bacterial SSU rRNA
Rfam family: Bacterial small subunit ribosomal RNA
Source: RNAcentral